UGAUAAUAACAUGCUAGCGUUUGCCCCCUCCCCCAUCCUCCCAGCCUGCUGCCCACAAUGGCCGCCCACUCUCAGACACGCUUUGGGGCCGGGCGGAGGGCACAGGCUGGUGCUGGCGCCCCCUGGACUCUGCCCUGGAGCCACAGCAGGUUCCCCUGCCCGGAGACCAAGGGCAGCUCAAGGUUCACCGCGUGGGCCUCGAUACACACGAGAAACCUCUGAAAUUCAAAGUGAGGAAAAGGUGACUGUCAUAGUCCUAUCCUUAUUGCUUUUCCAUGCCUGCCAAGUCCUUCCCUUUUGAGGAAUUUGCUUGGUUGGAACCUAUGUUUUACUCCCAGAGACCAUGCUUGGAACACGUGAUGCCAAUGAUGGCAGUUACUCAUAAUAUGAGAAGGACUGAGCUCUACCUGUUUAAUGACCAAAAUGAAAAUGAGGUUUGUGGCACAGUUCAAAAAGAUGGCCAGUCCAAUGCAGGAACCAACGAAAAAACCAUUGUUCAUGAAGGAGCUGGAGGUCAUAAAUGGGAGAACAAUAACAGAAAUAACCCCCAAAUAAGGGAAAGUGUGGGAUCUACCAUGUGAAUGAGCCUGGUGAGUUGAUUAAAAGUUUAUCCAUAUUUGUAUCAGAGGGGAUGUGGAAAAAUUGGGACCUUAAUUCUUUGUUGGUGGAUCUCUGAGCUGGUCCAACCAUUUUGGAGAACGAUUUGGAAUUAUGCCCAAAGAGUUAUUAAACUGCCUCUACCCUUUGACCCAGAAAUACCACUACUAGGUCUGUUUCCCAAGACGAUCUAGGAAAAGAACCGAGAUGUUCUAAAAUAU
Molecule: long non-coding RNA, 818 nt
Filed under: Phascolarctos cinereus (koala)
Lineage: Eukaryota; Metazoa; Chordata; Mammalia; Diprotodontia; Phascolarctidae
Description: lncRNA (ENSPCIG00000036478.1)
Source: RNAcentral